RNAcentral lists this signal recognition particle RNA (89 nucleotides) under uncultured Wenzhouxiangella sp. Its description in RNAcentral is "Bacterial small signal recognition particle RNA". It matches the Rfam family "Bacterial small signal recognition particle RNA". Rfam says of the family: The signal recognition particle (SRP) is a universally conserved ribonucleoprotein involved in the co-translational targeting of proteins to membranes. Archaeal SRP consists of a 7S RNA and homologues of the eukaryotic SRP19 and SRP54 proteins. In most bacteria, the SRP consists of a 4.5S RNA and the Ffh protein (a homologue of the eukaryotic SRP54 protein). Lineage: Bacteria; Pseudomonadati; Pseudomonadota; Gammaproteobacteria; Chromatiales; Wenzhouxiangellaceae. The record is from RNAcentral.
UGGUCUUCCCACACUGUUUCUGUUGUGAACCCCGUCAGGCCCGGAAGGGAGCAGCGGCAGCGAUGGACGCGGGUGCUGGGGUCGGGCUG